GACGAACGCUGGCGGCGUGCUUAACACAUGCAAGUCGAACGGAAAGGCCCCGCUUCUGUGGGGUGCUCGAGUGGCGAACGGGUGAGUAACACGUGAGUAACCUGCCCUUGACUUUGGGAUAACUUCAGGAAACUGGGGCUAAUAACGGCUAGGAGCUCCUGCUGCCUGGUGGGGGUUGGAAAGUUUCGGCGGUUGGGGUUGGACUCGCGGCUUAUCAGCUUGUUGGUGGGGUAGUGGCUUACCAAGGCUUUGACGGGUAGCCGGCCUGAGAGGGUGACCGGCCACAUUGGGACUGAGUUACGGCCCACACUCCUACGGGAGGCAGCAGUGGAGAAUAUGGUACUAUGGGCGGAAGCCUGAAGCAGCAACGCCGCGGGCGGUAUGACGGCCAUCGAGUUUUAAACCGCUUUCGCCUUAGACGAAGCUUGAGUGACGGUAAUGGGUAAAGAAGCACCGGCUAACUACAUG
Molecule: ribosomal RNA, 468 nt
Filed under: uncultured bacterium
Lineage: Bacteria
Description: partial 16S ribosomal RNA
Rfam family: Bacterial small subunit ribosomal RNA
Source: RNAcentral